This 381-nucleotide ribosomal RNA is filed under the name uncultured bacterium. RNAcentral describes it as "bacterial SSU rRNA". It matches the Rfam family "Bacterial small subunit ribosomal RNA", at positions 998 to 1381 of the family's 1533-position model. The record is from RNAcentral.
GGUCUUACCGGACCUUUCCUUCGGGACAGAGGAGACAGGUGGUGCAUGGUUGUCGUCAGCUCGUGUCGUGAGAUGUUGGGUUAAGUCCCGCAACGAGCGCAACCCCUAUCCCCAGUAGCCAGCAUUAAAGGUGGGCACUCUGAGGAGACUGCCAGGGAUAACCUGGAGGAAGGCGGGGAUGACGUCAAAUCAUCAUGCCCCUUAUGAUUUGGGCUACACACGUGCUACAAUGGCGUAAACAAAGGGAAGCAGAGCGGUGACGCCGAGCAAAUCCCAAAAAUAACGUCCCAGUUCGGACUGCAGUCUGCAACUCGACUGCACGAAGCUGGAAUCGCUAGUAAUCGCGGAUCAGAAUGCCGCGGUGAAUACGUUCCCGGGUCU